This is a long non-coding RNA of Culex quinquefasciatus (southern house mosquito), 433 nucleotides long. RefSeq lists it as uncharacterized. The record is from RefSeq and is a predicted model, not a curated record. Lineage: Eukaryota; Metazoa; Arthropoda; Insecta; Diptera; Culicidae. The transcript is spliced from 2 exons.
CGAAAGUCCGCUUGUCUGUGGUCUCAACUCUGUACACAAGGAUGUUUGCGAGCCGAGGACGGCGCAACUCAAGGAUUAAAACCGCUCCAGCUCUCUGUUGUACGCUGUUCAAGGACGUGCGCCACUGUCAUUGUCACUGGCGCUUGUUUGUGUGAGUGUGUGUGGAUAGUUCGCCAGUUUUCGAGGAGCAAACUUUGACAUUCAGAAACAAAGAGCGGCACAGUGGUAGUAUUUGCAUUCUUUGGUUUCAUUCCGCACAGUUUCAACAAAGGUUUUGAGAGGAAAACACUUAAAAAUGACAAAAAAAGAAGGAGUUCACAUCACAAACACGGCGGCGUUCACAAGAGACAGACGGGGAGAGGAAGAAAGAAAGUAAAAGUUAGAAAGAAACGAAUUUUGAAAACCAUAUCAAACAACAUAACAAAAGAAAAAG